Molecule: long non-coding RNA, 829 nt
Organism: Megalobrama amblycephala (Wuchang bream)
Lineage: Eukaryota; Metazoa; Chordata; Actinopteri; Cypriniformes; Xenocyprididae
Exons: 4
Source: RefSeq, a predicted model, not a curated record
CCAACUACAGGUAUGCGGUAGAACCCUGCGGUGUAGGAGACCGGAGUGGGCGUCAGAUGGUCAUUAGACUGAGGUGGAUGGCUCACCAGGAUGGCGUACACCUGCGAACAGGAUCACAGAACUGGUUUAUAUACAAAUACAGAGAGACCCUCCGGCACUGGCUCCAUCUGUCAUUGAAUGUCUCCUCUUCAGAGUGGGCAGAGAUGUCAGUGAGCCAAAGGCGAUACAGACAGAGCGAUACAGCAGUUUCGCAUGGAGGAAUCUCACACAACCAAAUUAAUUCAGCAAUUAUCUUGACAUUCUGCUAACAAGCUGCACAACCUUAGGGCCCAAAUUUGUUAAAGGCUGGUAUUGGUUUAAGAAGAAACAUUUCUGUUCUGGUGUGUCCUAGAUGUCAACUGCAGACCUACAUGAUGUGUUUCUCAUGUAUGUGAAUCCCCAUCAGGACCAUCUGCCAGUGCUUGGACAUGAGUCAUUACAGAAGGUGAUAUAAAAGCAGAUGUUAGGUGAGUUACCUCCUGCUUCUUUAUUGCCAGAUCAGCAGUCCCAAGGUCAGAAGCUACACUCAGAGCCACAGUACGUCAGAGGCGCUUUAAAAAACUUGUCCUACUUCCAAAGUACAUGUGACUCAAAGCAACAUCACAGACACUGCCUGAAGUUAAAAACCUCUUGUGUUGUGCUGUGCACCUGAGAUGUCCUCAUGUCUAUAAAGAAACUUAAAAAGAGUGGCAUUGUAUGACUGCUGAUCUGUUUAAUGUGAAAACUCUCUGAGCUACACAGUCCAGUUCAAAUAUAUUUACAGUGCACAGCAUAAAUGAGUACAUCCCCU